Molecule: long non-coding RNA, 1013 nt
Organism: Onychostoma macrolepis
Lineage: Eukaryota; Metazoa; Chordata; Actinopteri; Cypriniformes; Cyprinidae
Exons: 4
Source: RefSeq, a predicted model, not a curated record
GCGAGAGUGGCCACUUAAAAGCACGCGAGGGCCGCUGUUUAAAACUUCAACGGUUCACGGUGCGCUGACUGCGCUCAGCGCUCGGGAGAACAACGAUUAUAUUGAAGCUAAAAGAAGAAAGGUGGUUUAUCACAUUGUCCAGGCCUGCGCAAUUCUCUGCCCGGAGAUUGUAUCAAAUCACCGUCAGACUGCCGUUAUAAACAAGAACAAAGAGAGCAGCUGAUGGAGAUGCUUCCGUUUUUCUGUGGAUAACUGUCUGGACUCUGGAGUGCAGCAUUACUUGUUUGGUCAUCAACAUUCAGAUGAAAACCCCACACUUCUCUCUAAUUCAAGCAAGUUUUAAGAUUUGAUUUAACUGUGAGAGAUUCCUUUCUUUUUCCUGUACUAGGUCUAAUAAAUGUUUCUCUGACUUGUAUCCCCGUCUUAAGAUGUCAAGCCUACUCAUCGCAAAGAGAGUUAGCAUCAAUGGAUGUGUCACUGACCAAUAACACAGAGAUGCCAGAAGUAUCUGUUUGCUGUCUACUUUUUGUUCAGUAUGGAGCAUCCAAAAGACAUCACUCAGUUAAUUUCAAUCAGCACUAUUUAGCCCUUCCCAGUGCUGAAAUUGUCAUGGGUCUUUGUUUUUAUUGUUAUGCUUAUCUGAAUGUAAAAUUAAUAUUUAAUGCUUAUAAAUGUAAAAACAAUACUUUUAGUUAGUCUUUUAGCUCCCUUUUCAGAAACAUGUGGUUCACCAUCUUUCAUGGGUUACAGAAUUGGGGAAAGUUGCAGCAUACAAAAAAAAAAAAAGUCAGACAACUUGGUUUCUAGGAGAAUGUGGAGUAAAUACUUGACAUUUAUUUAAGGUAAAGUGUAAUGACCUGGUGGUGAUAUGCAAAAUAAGAGUGUCAUUAAUAUACUUUUUGUUGUUUUGUGUGGUUUCUUAGCAAUCAACAUGUAUUUGUGACUGACAUGUUGGAUGGGUGAGUAAGGUGGAGGGGGUUGAAAAAACAAUAUUUCUAAAACAGAGAGUGCUA